UGGGGGAUAUUGCACAAUGGGCGAAAGCCUGAUGCAGCGACGCCGCGUGGGGGAUGAAGGCUUUCGGGUUGUAAACCUCUUUCGCUAUCGAACAAGGCCCGCUUAGGGUGGGUUGAGGGUAGGUGGAGAAGAAGCGCCGGCUAACUACGUGCCAGCAGCCGCGGUAAUACGUAGGGCGCGAGCGGUGUCCGGAAUUAUUGGGCGUAAAGGGCUUGUAGGCGGCUUGUUGCGCCUGCUGUGAAAACGCGGGGCUUAACUUCGCGCGUGCAGUGGGUACGGGCAGGCUUGAGUGUGGUAGGCAUGACUGGAAUUCCAGGUGUAUCGGUGGAAUGCGCAGAUAUCUGGAGGAACACCGAUGGCGAAGGCAGGUCACUGGGCCAUUACUGGCGCUGAGGAGCGAAAGCAUGGGUAGCGAACAGG
Molecule: ribosomal RNA, 420 nt
Filed under: bacterium
Lineage: Bacteria
Description: partial 16S ribosomal RNA
Rfam family: Bacterial small subunit ribosomal RNA
Source: RNAcentral